Molecule: ribosomal RNA, 574 nt
Filed under: Luxilus chrysocephalus (striped shiner)
Lineage: Eukaryota; Metazoa; Chordata; Actinopteri; Cypriniformes; Leuciscidae
Description: partial large subunit ribosomal RNA
Rfam family: Bacterial large subunit ribosomal RNA
Source: RNAcentral
CGCCUCCUGCAGCAUAAAGUAUAGGAGGUCCAGCCUGCCCAGUGACUACGGGUUCAACGGCCGCGGUAUAUUGACCGUGCAAAGGUAGCGCAAUCACUUGUCUUUUAAAUAGAGACCUGUAUGAAUGGCUAGACGAGGGCUUAACUGUCUCCCCCCUCCAGUCAGUGAAAUUGAUCUAUCCGUGCAGAAGCGGGUAUAAUACUACAAGACGAGAAGACCCUUUGGAGCUUAAGGUACAAAAUUCAGCCACGUUAAGCAACUCCUUAAGAAGCAAGAACUUAAUGGCCAUGAAGUUUUACCUUCGGUUGGGGCGACCACGGAGGAAAAGCAAGCCUCCGAGUGGACUGGGCCAACACCCCUAAAGCCAAAAGAGACAUCUUUAAGCCGCAGAAUAUCUGACCAAUAAGGAUCCGGCUAAAAAGCCGAUCAACGGACCAAGUUACCCUAGGGAUAACAGCGCAAUCCUCUCCCAGAGCCCAUAUCGACGAGGGGGUUUACGACCUCGAUGUUGGAUCAGGACAUCCUGGUGGUGCAGCCGCUAUUAAGGGUUCGUUUGUUCAACGAUUAAAGUCCU